AAUACACCACAUUUUUAAUAUGGGCUCACAUAAUUAUAUUGUCUAUGUUAAUACAUGACUAAUUGUAUACAAAUUCUACAACUGCGGAGUCACUAACUAAUAGAUAUACAUAGAUUUUUAUACAUCUAGAUACAUAGCAAAAUAUUUAUUGGUCUAGGAAAAUUUUCUUUCUAGCUCUACGACGAAGGAACAUAGCUUAACCGAAUUAAAGAGAAACUUA
RNAcentral lists this long non-coding RNA (220 nucleotides) under Jatropha curcas. Its description in RNAcentral is "long non-coding RNA (JCUR_LNC001528)". Lineage: Eukaryota; Viridiplantae; Streptophyta; Magnoliopsida; Malpighiales; Euphorbiaceae. The record is from RNAcentral.